Manis pentadactyla (Chinese pangolin) is the source of this 6507-nucleotide RNA transcript. It is a transcript of the gene named multifunctional ROCO family signaling regulator 1, with no coding region annotated. The transcript is spliced from 4 exons. The record is from RefSeq and is a predicted model, not a curated record. Lineage: Eukaryota; Metazoa; Chordata; Mammalia; Pholidota; Manidae.
CCCGCCCGAGCCCGGGGAAGAGGAGACAAGGAGGCGCCGCCGCCCCCUCCUCCCGGCUGCGCCCGCAACAUGCCCGCCGCGGAGCCGAGCGCCGUCCUCCUCCAGGAGCUCGCGGCGGCGACGACGCUGCGGGCCACCGGGCCGCGGCUGCGAGGGUAGCGGGGCCGGAGUCGGCACCGAGGCGCCGCGAGGCGGGCGGAGCUGGGGAGCAGCGGCGGCAUCCUCCGCGGCGCGGCGGGCGGCGGCCCUGCUGCCCCGGCGCGUCCAUGGCCCGAAAGGAAGGAGAAUGCGAGCUGCACUGGCCGCCGGCCGCCGCCGCGUGCUCGGCGCCCCCCGGAGCUGCUCGCGUCGGCGCCGUCGCCCCCCAGCUGCGGGCGCCCGGCCGCUGGCUGCGCUAGGAGCAGCAGCCGCCCGUCGCCGAGCGCUGGUGGGAAGGAAGGAGCCAGAGGGCUCGGGAGACUGGCGCCCGCCUGGGCGCAGCGCGGCAUGUAGCUGCGGGCUCCAGCGCCCGCGCGAGGUUGUCGGCCCGGGGCCCCGCCAUGGCUGGGAAGGACAGUGGGAACCUGAAGACGGUGAGGCUGUGGCGGGACGCCGCCCUGCGCGCCAGGAAGCUGCGGAGCAACCUGCGCCAGCUCACUCUCAGCGCGGCCGGGGGCUGCCCGGCGGCCGGAGCUGAGCCGCUCGACUCCCCCGAUGCCCCCCAGCUCGUGCUGCCCGCCAACAUCGGGGACAUUGAGGUGCUGAACCUGGGGAACAACGGCCUGGAGGAGGUGCCCGACGGGCUGGGGUCGGCGCUGGGCAGCCUGCGCGUCCUGGUUCUGCGCAGAAACCGCUUUGUCCGGAUGCCCUCUGCGGUGGCCGAGUUGGGCCACCACCUAACCGAGCUGGAUGUGAGCCACAACCGGCUGACUGUCCUGGGCGUGGAGGUGGUGAGUGCCCUGCGGGAGCUGCGCAAGCUCAACCUCGGCCACAACCAGCUGCCCGCCCUGCCUGCCCAGCUGGGUGCCCUUGUCCACCUGGAGGAGCUGGAUGUCAGCUUCAACCGGCUGGCACACCUGCCUGACUCCUUCUCCUGCCUGUACCGCCUGCGCACCCUCGACGUGGACCACAACCAGCUCACUGCUUUUCCCCGGCAGCUGCUGCAGCUGGCGGCCCUAGAGGAGUUGGAUGUGUCCAGCAACCGGCUGCAGGGCCUACCUGAGGAUAUCAGUGCCCUGCGUGCCCUCAAGAUCCUCUGGCUGAGUGGGGCUGAGCUUGGCACCCUGCCCAGCGGCUUCUGCGAGCUGGCCAGCCUGGAGAGCCUUAUGCUGGACAACAACGGGCUGCAGGCUCUGCCCACCCAGUUCAGCUGCCUGCAGCGGCUCAAAAUGCUCAACCUCUCCUCCAACCUCUUUGAGGAGUUCCCUGCCGCGCUACUGCCCCUGGCUGGUCUGGAGGAGCUCUACCUUAGUCGCAACCAGCUCACCUCAGUGCCAUCCCUUAUCUCGGGGCUGGGCCGGCUUCUCACUCUGUGGCUAGAUAAUAACCGGAUCCGCUACCUGCCGGACUCAAUUGUGCAGCUGACUGGCCUGGAAGAGCUAGUGCUUCAAGGAAACCAGAUCGCUGUGCUGCCAGACAACUUCGGCCAGCUCUCCCGGGUGGGCCUGUGGAAGGUCAAGGACAACCCACUGAUCCAGCCCCCCUAUGAGGUCUGUAUGAAGGGGAUCCCCUACAUUGCAGCCUACCAGAAGGAGCUGGCUCAUUCCCAGCCAGCUGUGCAGCCCCGUCUCAAGCUGCUGCUGCUGGGCCACAAGGCUGCCGGGAAGACCUCGCUCCGCCACUGCCUCACCGAGGAGAGAGUGGAGGGAAGCCGAGGCGGAGGGGACAGGGAAAGGAGCUACCCACCUUCCCCGCCUCCUGUGAGCAAGGGCAUUGAUGUGACAAGCUGGACGGCUGAUGCUUCCCGGGGCCUGCGGUUCAUCGUGUAUGAUUUAGCUGGUGAUGAAAGUUACGAGGUGAUCCAGCCCUUCUUCCUCUCCCCAGGGGCCCUUUAUGUGCUGGUGGUGAACUUGGCCACCUACGAGCCACUCCGCUUUCCCACCACCGUGGGCUCCUUCUUGCAUCGGGUGGGGGCCCGGGUGCCUCAUGCUGUGGUGUGCAUUGUGGGCACGCACGCUGACCUGUGUGGGGAGCGGGAGCUGGAGGAGAAGUGUCUGGACAUCCACCGCCAGAUCGCCCUGCAGGAGAAGCACAAUGCCGAGGGGCUGAGCCAUCUGGCCCAGGUGGUGGACGAGGCGCUGGCCCGGGACUUUGAGUUGCGCUCUACUAGCCCCCAUGCUGCCUACUAUGGUGUUUCAGACAAGAACCUUCGGCGGCGUAAGGCCCAUUUUCAGUACCUGCUCAACCACCGGCUGCAGAUUCUGUCCCCAGUGUUGCCUGUCAGCUGCCGGGACCCCCGCCAAUUAAAACGCCUUCGGGACAAACUGCUCUCAGUAGCUGAGCACCGGGAAAUCUUCCCCAACUUACACAGAGUACUGCCUCGAUCCUGGCAGGUGCUGGAGGAACUGCAUUUCCAGCCCCCUCAGGCCCAACGACUUUGGCUAAGCUGGUGGGACUCUGCUCGCCUGGGCCUGCAGGCAGGUCUCACCGAGGACCGGCUGCAGAGUGCCCUUUCCUAUCUGCACGAGAGCGGCAAGCUGCUCUACUUUGAGGACAGCCCAGCCCUCAAGGAGCAUGUCUUCCACAAUCUCUCCCGCCUCAUUGACAUCCUCAAUGUCUUUUUCCAGAGGGAUCCUUCCUUACUGCUGCAUAAGCUGCUGCUCGGGACCAGCGGAGAGGGUGACAGUGAGGGGGAAAGCUCCCCGCUGAUGGCGCUGCCCUCCUCAAACCAGGAACUGCUCCGGGCCACCCAGCUCCAUCAUUACGUGGAAGGCUUUCUGCUACAUGGGCUCUUGCCAGCCCAUGUCAUUCGGUUGCUGCUUAAACCUCAUGUCCAGGCCCAGCAGGACUUGCAGCUGCUGCUGGAGCUUUUGGAGAAGAUGGGACUCUGUUACUGCCUCAAUAAACCCAAGGGCAAGCCUUUGAAUGGGUCCACAGCCUGGUACAAGUUCCCAUGCUAUGUGCAGAACGAGGUGCCCCAUGCAGAGGCCUGGAUUAACGGGACCAACCUGGCUGGGCAAUCUUUUGUGGCUGAGCAGUUGCAGAUUGAGUACAGUUUUCCCUUCACCUUUCCACCUGGGUUGUUUGCACGUUACAGUGUCCAAAUCAACAGCCAUGUGGUGCACAGGUCUGAUGGCAAACUUCAGAUCGUUGCAUAUAGAGGGAAAGUUCCUGUGGUGGUGAGUUACAGACCUGCCAAGGGGGUCCUGCAGCCAGACACUCUGUCCAUUGCCAGCCAUGCAUCAUUACCAAACAUAUGGACAGCAUGGCAAGCCAUAACCCCCUUGGUAGAGGAACUGAAUGUCCUGCUCCAGGAAUGGCCUGGACUGCACUACACCGUGCACAUUCUCUGUUCUAAGUGCCUUAAGAGAGGGUCGCCCAAUCCACACGCUUUCCCAGGGGAGUUGCUGAGUCAGCCCAGACCAGAAGGAGUGGCAGAGAUCAUUUGCCCCAAGAACGGCAGCGAGCGCGUGAACGUCGCCUUGGUUUACCCACCCACCCCGACUGUGAUCAGCCCCUGUUCCAAGUAUCUCCAUACUUUCUUGGAAAAUUAAGUGGAAAAGAUAGUGCUUCUUUCUCUUACACCAUCAUUUUUACUGUACCCAAUCUGUGACUUUAGGAGCACCAAUUUUUAAGGGAAGAAUGUUGGUGAAAAGCACAGAAACCAGUGACUUUUAUGGCUGUGGAAUUUCCAUGGAGAAAAGAGCAUCCGAACUCACCUGGACCACCAUUCAUACCUGGCAAGCCCUCCACACUCCCACGCGUGUUCCGGGAACUUGAGCGAAUAAACGUUCAGGGUGCUCAGAUGAGGGAGCACACCUGGCCUGUGGGUGAGGAAGGGAGGGGCGGGCAAAGGAGGGGAGAGAAUAUGGAGCAAAUGUUUCACAACCUGAACCUCAGAACUGGUCCUCCAAGGAGAGCACUACUUGAAGAAAAGAGUCGAAUGGCUUCUCAGGGAUUUUGUUUUCCGUGCACAUCUAAGCCAUAGUUCAGUGCAGGUGACAGUGUUGAGGGCACUCAGAUUUCAGUUCUGUUCAAUGUGAAAGGGAUCGACUGACCGUCCAUCGCUGUUCCGUAACUAGUGUAAAAUAUGUAUAUGUUUAUCUUUAUUUUUAUAAUAUGCAAAUACAUUUAAAUUUAUACAGUUUGAAGCUUCUAGCAUUAGUUAACACUGGGUGCAAUAUUCAUUCCACAUGAGAACUGUGCCAAGAUGGGGCUGAUUUCUUCGUAUAGCAUAAGAACCUUUUUGUCUAUUUUUUCUUCUUUAAUCCUAUCUACCCGGGGAUUAAGUGUUGGUUCAUAGAGGUUCCAGUAGUCAGCCAGAACCUUAAAUGUGCAUAUCAGGCCGUGUCCCCUCUCCUCUUCAUUAAAGGCCCCUGCCUGUAAGCCUGGGCAGGGCGGUGGGCUUAUCCCUUCCUUUGACCUCACGUCACUAGUGCCAGGCAGAGUAUUCAGGCUUUGUGUUGACAGGGGGUUGUCACCAGGUGAUAUGCUGAUGGAGGCCUGGUGUUCAGAUGCUUCAGGGGCAGAGUUCAGGGGUGGGGGAAGGGGUCAGUGAGUCUGUGGAAAACCUGGUCUUUUAAUAGCUUCAGAGAAAAGGAGUCAGUUCUGAAGCAGGCAGAGAGCUCUAAGUACUUUUUUAUUUUUGGUAGAACAGAGUUCUCUGAAAUUUUGCAGAGCACUUUGAAAGCCCUCCACAUCUGGCUGUCAGACUUUAAGAUAGCGAGUUGCCUAAUUGGAGAGCAUAAUCCAUUGGUUAUUUAUAAAUACAGAGGCUCUGAUUGGAUGGUCCACCACCAAGAACAAAGUAAAACCCUUGUUUUAAAAUCUCCACCCAGGAAGACUUCAAAGACAAACCAAAACUGCUCUCUCUUCUACUCCUAACUGUGGCCAAACAGCAUUUGCUGCGAGAGUAACACAUUCUUUGAAGAAUGUACAGGACUCUGUUUACAUCUGCCUCCUCUGGGUGUUGAUUGAAAAUGUGUAAACUAACUGUUUCUCACCAGUGUAGGACAAAAAAAGUGAGCCAGCUGGUACCGUUCUUUUACUUCUUUAUAAAGUAUUGACUCCAGGAAUGCCACAUUAUACAAGGUCUCAACAUAUUUUCUAAAAGAAAUAACGAACAAGCCAGCAGCUGCAUUGCAAAAAAUCACCAGAUUUUCGUAGACUAAUUUGUGCCCUGGGAGUCACUAACUCCAGAUCUUCUAGUCAAACAAGUUUGAUUUCUUAGGAUCAUAAAAUUAAAUAGGAUUGGGUGAUUUCUGCAUUUUUAAUUACUUGAAUAUGACGCCUGACAUUUGAGACAUCAGUUGCUCUUCAAACACAGUCACAAGUUAAUCCAGUUAAUAUUUUGUCACAGUUCUCGUGUGUGUGCGUUCAUGUGUGUGCGUGCAUGUAUUGUAUGUGUGUAAAUUGGAUGGGAACAUUUAAUUGCUUUAUGGACCCCCAGAAUUUCAGGGCAUAAAAUUUUUUAAUUGGCAUGAAACAGUUCCGAAACUGCCAAAUUGACCAACUUUGACCCAUCUUUUGAAGACUCUUCAGUGUGUGACUUCACGCUAACUCCCCAGGGGGCCAUAUGAAUGAAAGAAAAAAUAAUUUAAAAAAUAUGCUCCUUUGUGUGACAGUCCCUGCAAAACUUUUCCCGUUAUUAUAAACCCAAAUGCCCGUUUCUUAAUAUCCGCUCUUUUUUCACAAAUGAUGUUUUGUGCUAUCCUCUGAACCCUAGAGAAGCAGUAAAAGAAGAGAUCUUGGUGUCACAUGGCUUUUAGUAGAAAAGGGUCAUCAUGAUAGAGGGUCAUGUGACCAGAACAAGCUCCAGAGAAGCUUGAACAUUGCUUCACGGUGGGGGGAGGGUUGGAGAUACAGAAAAUAACUCUGCUCUACAGGAAUUUUCACCGUCUAUGCAGGAAAUUCCGUUUUCUCUUUCGACACCUGGGAAGACUCAGCCAGCCAACGCUGCCAGGCAACUCACCAAGCACAGGGAAGUGUUUUCCAACCAAGGAUUCCCUUGCCUCACAAACAGACACCCUCCAACUUGGUCAUGGUGUCUAUUCCUGCAACUUGUGAUACCAGAGCCACUUCCUGGAAUUGUAAAAGUGCUGCCAGAAUAAAUGGUUUUCCCCCUUCCAAGAAAAAAGAAUGACCGUGCUCCUAUUUGACACUUAUGCAUUAGACUCUUUUGAAUGAAUAAAAAGGAAAGGGUUUGGUGUCAUUCCUGAUGGGAUGUGUGAUAUUUUUCAUGCCACAGUUUGUGAAUUGUAGUUGUGGUAUCCCAUUUAAUUGUCGUGGCUGGGCAGAAAUUUUUUUUUUAAUUCAAAAAAGUUCAAUAAAAAAAAAAUACAAAGGUGUGGUGAAGCAAUCACAUUUCCA